UACGUAGGGUGCAAGCGUUGUCCGGAAUUAUUGGGCGUAAAGAGCUCGUAGGCGGUUUGUUGCGUCGGCUGUGAAAUCCCGAGGCUCAACCUCGGGUCUGCAGUCGAUACGAGCAAACUAGAGUGUUGCAGGGGAGACUGGAAUUCCUGGUGUAGCGGUGAAAUGCGCAGAUAUUAGGAGGAACACCGGUGGCGAAGGCGCCGCUCUGGGCCGAAACUGACGCUGAGGAGCGAAAGCAUGGGUAGCAAACAGG
Molecule: ribosomal RNA, 253 nt
Filed under: uncultured bacterium
Lineage: Bacteria
Description: partial 16S ribosomal RNA
Rfam family: Bacterial small subunit ribosomal RNA
Source: RNAcentral